GACGAACGCUGGCGGCGUGCUUAACACAUGCAAGUCGAACGGAAAGGCCCCUUUGGGGGUACUCGAGUGGCGAACGGGUGAGUAACACGUGAGUAACCUGCCCUUGACUUCGGGAUAACUUCAGGAAACUGGGGCUAAUACCGGAUGGGAAUCCUUGCUGCAUGGUGGGGGUUGGAAAGCUUCGGCGGUUUUGGAUGGACUCACGGCUUAUCAGCUUGUUGGUGGGGUAGUGGCUUACCAAGGCUUUGACGGGUAGCCGGCCUGAGAGGGCGACCGGCCACAUUGGGACUGAGAUACGGCCCAGACUCCUACGGGAGGCAGCAGUGGGGAAUAUUGCACAAUGGGCGGAAGCCUGAUGCAGCAACGCCGCGUGCGGGAUGACGGCCUUCGGGUUGUAAACCGCUUUCAGCAGGGGCGAAGCUUGUGGUGACGGUACCUGCAGAAGAAGCACCGGCUAACUACGUG
This 465-nucleotide ribosomal RNA is filed under the name uncultured bacterium. Its description in RNAcentral is "partial 16S ribosomal RNA". It matches the Rfam family "Bacterial small subunit ribosomal RNA", at positions 28 to 507 of the family's 1533-position model. The record is from RNAcentral.